AGAUAAAAGACAUGAACAGACAUAUCACCCAAGAGCAUGUUUUACAUUGAACAUCAAAAGAUGUCCAACAUCAUUAGUCAUCAGGGAAAUGCAAAUCAAAGCCACAGUAAGCUAUCACUACACACCUACAAUAAUGGCUAAAAUAAAAAAUAGUGACAACAUCUAAUGCUGGCAAGGAUAUGGAGAAAUUAAAUUAUUCAUGUAUUGCUGGUGGGAAUGUAAAAUGGAACAAACAUUCUGGACAAUAGUUUGGCAGAUUCUUAUAAAACCAAAUAUGCAAUUACUACUGUACAAUUAUACUCUUGGGCAUUUAUCCCACAAAAGUGAAAACGCGUGUUGACACAAAAAUGGGCACAUACAUAUUUACAGCAAUUUUUUUCCUAAUAGCCAAAAAAAUACCCCACUGCGCUUCAAUAAGUGAAUGUUUAAAUAAACUGUGAUACAUCAAUACCAUCAUGGAAUAUUAUUAAGCAAUAAAAUGGAACGAACUAUUGAUACAUGCAACAGCUUGGAUGACUCCAAGGAAUUAUGCUAAGUGAAAAAAGCCCAUUUUCAAAGGUUACAUACAGUAUAAUUUCAUUUACGUAAUGGUCUUGAAAUAAACAAAUUAUAGAAAUGGAGAAGAGAUUGGUAGUUACCAAGUGUUAGGGAUAGCAGAAAUGGCAGAGGGUCAUGGGAAUGGAUGUAGCUAUAAAAUGGCAAAACAGAAUUUUUGUGAUGAUGGAUUGUUCUAGGUCUUGACUGUAGUGGUAGAUACACACACCUACACGUAUUACCAAAAUAGAACAAAGUACACACAUACUUACACAAAAAUGAGUACAAAUGAAAUGGGAAAUCUGAAUACGAUCUGUAGGCCAUACGAAAGUCCAUUCUUUUUUAUUUUUAUUUUUUUUGAUACAGGGUCUCAAAAAAACUACUUUGUUUUUCUUUUUUUCUGAUUACAAAGUUAAUCUGUGUUUAUUGUAGAAAAUGUGGGAAAUGCUUGAAAGCAUAAAGAAGAAAAUAAAGGUAACUCUAAUCUUGCUGCCUGAGAUAAUAAACAUUUUUAACAUUUUAACAUAUUCUGUUUUCUGUGUCUGGGUAUAUAUACAUUUUUUUGCUUAACAAAAAUGGGCCAGGUGUGGUGGCUCACGCCUGUAAUCCCAGCGCUUUGGGAGGCUGACGAGGGCUAAGGCGAGAUGAUCACUUGAGGCCAGGAGUCUGAGACCAACCUGAGCAGCAUAGCAAGACCCUGUCUCUACAAAAAUAAAAGAUACUAGCUAGGUGUGGUGGCACACACCUGUAGUCCUAGCUACUUGGGAGGCUGAGGUGGGAGGAUUGCCUGAGCCCAGGAGUUCAAGGUUGCAGUGACCUGUUUGCCAUUGCACUCCAACCUGGAUGACAGAGCAAGACCUUUCUAAAAAAAAAAAAAAAAUGGUGAGGGAAGGGGGCAUAUUGGAGACACUGUUUUGCAACUUGCUUUUUUCAAAUUAGUUUUUUGCCCUGAACAUUAUCUUUUCUUCUUUUUUAUACAAGAAGAUACUCCUGAGAAUGCUGAAGCAUCAAACGACUGAAUUAAUGGUGACUGGGGAGUACCAGGUUCUUAUUCUUGGGUGACUGGUGGGAAGGCACUGAGGCAAAGGGAGCCCUCGGGAGGUGGUGGAGGUAAGUUUUAAGCAAGGGGGCACUGUACUGGGUCUGUCUGGAGAGGGUGAGUAUGAGAGAGGAAGGGGAUGGAAGUGGAUGCUAGGAUUCUAGGCAGGUGGGAGCAGCUUCAGGGUACUCUGAGGCUUGUGAUCAUCCCUCAAGGCCUGGCCAGAAUAAGCAUGCUUAUGCCAGAUAGGAAGAGUAAGUAGAAUUUUCUGAGCACUUACUAGGUGCCAGGCACUGUGCUCUAGAUUUGCCAUUUUAAUCCUUUCAACAACCAAGUUUACAUUAUUCCAUUUUAAGGAUGAGAAUAUGCAAGUUCAAAGAGGUUAAGAAAAAUGUCCACAUAGGGCCAGGUGUGAUGUCUCAGGCCUGUAAUCCCAGCACUUUGGGAGGCCAAGGUGGGCAGAUCACCUGAGAUCAGGAGUUUGAGAUCGGCCUAGCCAACAGGGUGAAACCCCAUCUCUACUAAAAAUAUAAAAAAUUAGCUGGGCGUAGUGGCACGUGCCUGUAAUCCCAGCUACUCUGGAGGCCAAGGCAGGAUAAUCAUUUGAACCCAGGAAGCGGAGGUUGCAGUGAGCCAAGAUUGCACCACUGCACUGCAGCCUGGGCGACAGAGAGAGACUCCAUCUCAAAAAAAAAAAAAGAAAAAUGUCCGAGUAUGGCAGAUUGCAUUUUCCCAAAAAUGGCCACAACAGUAUCACUGGUCCCACCUGCUUUCCCCCUUGCUGUGGGCUUGCUUUUCUGAACGCCGUCAUUCCCCUUGCUAUGGCAUCCAUUUCCUCUCACUCAACCUGGGCAAGCCUUUGUGACUUCCUCGAAGACUAGAAUAUGGUGGAAAUGUCACGGCGUGACUUGCAAGACUGGAUUUAAAAAGGCCGAACAUGUCUUUCUGUGAAGAACCUGACCGCCAUGUUGUGAGGAAGCCCAGGCUCUGAACAAAGGCCACAUGCAGGUAUUCUGGCUAAUAGCUCCAACUAGGGCCCCAAGCCAGCCCCUGGCAUCGAUCAUCAGACAUGUGAGAAAAUAUGCCUUCAGAAGAUUUUAGACUCAGCUGUUGAGGCACCUUCAUCCUUCCAGUCUUCCAGCUGAGGCCUCGGAUGUUGUAGAACAGAGACAGAUUGUCCCUAUUACGUCCUGUCCAAAUUCCUGACCCAUAGAAUCCACGAGAAUGAAAAAGGGUUGCUUUAUGCCACUAAGUUUUGAGGUAAUUUGAUACGCAGCAAUAGGUAACCAGUAUAACAGGUGCACACAGACCCAGAAUGUGAAGCUCCACCUCCAGCAUCUCGGCUGUAGCCACUGGCUUCUCCCAUCCCGUCUGUGAAGACCACAGUGUUAGUUUGCCAGGGCUGCUAUAACAAAGUGCCACAGAUUAGGUGGCGGAAACAACUGGAAUUUAUUUUCUCACAGUCUGGGGUGUACAAGUUUGAGAUCAAGAUGUUGGUAGGGUGGCUUUCUUCUGAGGCCUUCCUUCUUGGCUUGUCGAUGGUGUCUUGUGUCCUUCAUGUCGUCUCUCAGUACCUGUGUCCUAAUCUUUUGUAUAAGGACAUCUGUCCUAUUGGAUUAGAUCCCACCCAUAUGGUCUCAUUUUACCUUAAUUGCCUCUCUAAAGGCCCUGUCUCCAAAUACAUUCUGACGUACAAGGGAUUAGAAAUCAAUGUAUGAGUUUUGGGAGGACACAACUGAGUCCAUAGCAGCUAUGCCUAGGGCAUUUUGGAGGUCUGAAGGGGCUGGAGGUCUGGCUCCUCCUAUCCCAUCUAGCUGGCCUCUGGCUUCAUCCGUUACCUUCUAGAGCAGGGGUUUUAGACCUUGGCUCCACAUUAGAAUCAUCCGGUGAGCUCCAAAAAGAACAGUUAUAACCUAGCCCUGCCCCAGAUUAAUUAAAUCAGAAUCUCUGAGGCAGGGCCUGGGUAUCAGCAGGUUUUAAAAGUUCCUUCAUGAUUCUAACAUGCAGCCAGGGUUGAGGCCCACAGCUCUAGGGGUGAAAGAGGUGACAAGAGCGGCGAGCCAGGGAAUGACGGUGCCCCGUUGUAGCAAGCACACUGCUGCUGUGGCUAGAGGGAGAGAAACCAAAAUCAGAAGCAUCCUGACACGUUUCACAUGCCUCUUCCUUCACAGUAUGAAGAGGUUGGGGCAUUACGAAGAAUGAAAAACAGGCCGGGCGUGGUGGCUCACGCCUGUAAUCCCAGCACUUUGGGAAGUUGAGGAGGGUGGAUCACCUGAGGUCAGGAGUUUGAGACCAACUUGACCAACAUGGUGAAACCCCAUCUCUACUAAAAAUACAAAAAUAGCCAGAUGUGGUGGCGCGUGCCUGUAAUCCCAGUGACUUGGGAGGCUGAGGCAGGAGAAUCGCUUGAAACUGGGAGGUAGAGGUUGCAAUGAGUCGAGAUUGUGCCACUGCACUCCAGCCUGGGUGACAGAGCAAGACUCCAUCUCAAAAUAAAUAAAUAAAUAAAUAAAUAAAUAAAUAAAAACAGAAGAGGUAGGGAAAUACCCAUCCCACCAGUUAAAAUGAGAAAUUCUAUUACAUAAAAUAAGAAACAAAACCAAAAAAAGGAAAAGCAGGAAAGCACAAGAUACCUAGUGGAAGUGAAGAAACAGAUGCAUAAGUAGGGGCUGAUAUGAGUCUCCUCUGUGAUAGCCUGGUUUUCGUGUUUUACUUUAGAAAUUUCCAACUGAGCUUAUGGACUUGAUUUUAUAAAAUGCAAAAAUCAACUGUCAGCUUUAUUGUUCAGCCUGGGAACUCACCACCCAGCAGUCAGAAAUCACAGGCUCAGAAUGGGAAGCCGGGGCAGCACCAGCCCGUCCUUAACCGGCUUCAUCCUUGGCCGCACGCACUCAGCAGACCCUGACUCUGCUCAGAUCUUUCCUUCCUUUCCACUCCCAACCCUCCCCAUGGGCUGCUUCUGGGGCUAGAUGCUGCUUGUGAAUUGCCACGGGGGAUGUUGCCUAUUCCCGAAGUCAUUUAUAUUGGUAUUACUACCGUAAAUUCUUUAUGAAAUAAAAAUCAAUAGUCACCGACAUCCUGAGUAGUGAGGAAAAUAAUUGUUUAUGGCACUCAGCUUAAGCUGUUCUGGUAAUCACGUUGAAAAAUACAAUAUUUAUUCAUUAGAUCAAAUUUAAUGAGGCCUCCUGGCAGUAAUUAUAAAAAUUACUGUAGCAGUAAAUUACUAAUGAGUUGUGAUGUGCUUCCUACCUGUGAAGAAGGACUGGGGGUUGAAAAAGCCUGCUACCCAGAUGAGGAGGCGAGGGAGGGAGCCCUGCGGCCCGCGCUGCUCUCUCACCCAAGCAGGGAAGGAUCAGUGUACCCAGACCACAAAAGCAAACAAGAAAAAAAGACUUGAGGACACACAACCAGGGGGAUUCCUGCAGCCGUCGGAGCAGGAUCAAGAUUACAGCAUUCUUUUCCCCAAAGGUGAGCAUCGUCUCAGCGACUUGGUGUUGCUGGCGUGCUGGGGUCACAGAGGAUCACUCAUCUGACGCCUGGGAAGGACAGGGCUUCUUAUUAAGGCUGGGAAAUGAUUCCAGGCACACGCCGCCCUUCAAGUCUGAGGCCUUGACUCCGACCGCCGAGGUGCAGGUUCUGCUCAGCUCUUUCAAAACCAGCCGCAGAGCAUGGCGCCUGCUCUAAUGCAAGCACAGUUGAUGGUUUUUACAAGCUCCUGGGGGUUUCUUCCUGCUCUGAAGGAUCAGAACUGGCUAGAAUUUUGCUCUUUUAUUUAUAGCAGGGAGCUAAGUUUUUUUUUUUUUUUUUUUUGGACGCAAGUAAUUAAUUUUGAUUGAGGAGCUAUAUAUAAAAAAGCCAGAAAAUCUGAUCUGAGGGCAGGCACAGUUUUUAGAGUUAGCAGAGUUAAAUGGAAACAUUAAAUCUUAGGGAAGUAUGGCUGGAUACGGCAUUGUUGUGCAGUUUUCUGGAUUAAUAUGGACGGUAAAUAGCAGCCUUACCACAUAGCAGGGCUAUGUCAAUUCAUCACCGGUAGUCUUUGUUCCCUAGACAUAGAGCCAUGGCCUGCUGAUGAGGGACUAGCUAAACCAGGUUACAGCCUCCCACCCCAUGGGCAGCUGGAAUCUGGGAACCAGCCGAAACACCCUCUGAAGCCUCAGCAUAGCCCUUCCCUGAAAAGUGUCUCUCAAUAGUGGGCAGGCUGUCGUCUGGAGUGACAGCUGUCUAUUCAGGUAGUGGCUGCUAUUGUCUUCACACUUGUAACACCAAGAGGAUUUUUGUUUAAUUUUAAGAAUUCUGACAGCAUCUCAGAAUGUCGUACUCCAAGUGGGUCCAACCCCUCCUCUCAUGGGGAGGGCACAAUGACAUUAGAGUGUACAUUUUUUUCUUUAAAUUGCAGAUGCCUUAAAAUGAGAUUGUCAGGUUUGUUGGCUUGUCAGACUAAAGUAUCAAGAUUGUCACAGUGUAUUAUAUCACUAUAAUAUGAUCAUUGUACACGAAACUAAUGAAUAAUAUUGUACUUAGUGGUGGGAUGGAGUCACAUUAACAUUAAAAACGGUGAGCAGCCUUGCAUUUUACCCAGGAGAAUCUGGGAGGGAUGACUCUACACUGUGGGGUGUCAGGCCAGAAUUUCAUCACCCAGGGGAGGUCAGGAAGCCCUCUUUGGACAGAGAGGUAAGGAGGUGGCCAGCUGAGUGCUGUGUUGGGAACAGCAGAGCAGAAGGGAGGCUGGGGGCUCCUCAGGGAGGCUGAUUGAAGUGUUUGCACCCUAAUAGGUGCACAGAAAAUGGUUUUUAAAGGAAGGCAUAAAUGUCAAUUGCGAGUUUUCUUCACAAUUAGAAUCACAUGCAGCUAAACUAGAAGCAGUUUGAUGAGGAUGCAGUGGAAGCUGCAGUGUCUGCCUUGCUUACGCCCUCAUUGACCAUUAAUUAAUUCAUUCAUUCAUGCAUUUAUUAGAUGUCAAUAAGCCCUACUACGUGCCAGGCACUGUGCCAGGCCCUAUGUCUGUGUAGCAGGCCCAGCCUUGCCUUUGUAAGGCAGGAAAGGCAGCAUUGCAGACACUGAACAAGGACAUGUACAAAACAAUACCGUGAGUCCCUACGGCAUAAGUGCUCUGAAGGAAAGCAGAAGAGGGGAGGCUAACUUAUUUUGAGGGAGUGAUACUGAAGUGAGAUCUCAAAGAGUGAGAGGGAGUUAGGAUGGGAAAGAGCAUUUGAAGCAAUGGAAGCAGAGGCUUAGAGCCCCUGUGAACUGAAGGAAGGUCAGAGGGUCUGGAAGGAAGCAGGAGCACCACAGUCACUAUGUGGGGAAUGUGGCCGCUGGGGUCAGACAGGCCUGAGUUUGAGUUUGGGCCAGUUUACCUCUCUGAGUUGUCAGGGACUAAAUAAUAUCAUCGGUCAAGCCCUCAGCACAGGCCCUGGCCCAUAGUAGAAAUCCCAUACAUGAAAACAAUCAUCAUGGUUACAGGGAGGCAGGCUGGGGAGCUUAUUGCAUGUGGCAGUUUGAAGACACCCAAGUGCUUGUUCUAUGGUACAUGGGCUUUGGGGGGAUACAGCAGGCGAAGGCACAGGUAUGUCAAGGCAUGGCACUGCCAUGUUACCUGAGUUAGGAUGCAGAAGAAAACAGGAGAGUGAGUACUUACAUUGACUCAGGAUAACAAUAUCCCACUGUAAACAUUCAUUUACUUUGUCAGCAUCAAGCAAUGUGUCUUCCUACUGUAGAUUAGAUUGCACGUGACAGUUAGAGAAGUGCCUCCGGGGUUUGCUCCAUUCACAAACUGUACAACCAUACUCAGAAGCCAGGAAUUCAAUACAAAUUCUUUUUUGAGUGCCUGCAAGGUGGUAAAUUUGAAGUCUGUAUUUUUUUCAAGGCAGACUGCUCUUGUGCCUAUUACAGAAAGUCUAUUUCCUAAAAUGGAUAGGAUUUAUAGGCUUUGUCUUUUCCAAAAGAUGCAAGUACAUUCCUCUCACUAAUGUUACUGCAAAUUGCACUCGUAUUUGAAGGAGGAAAGUCUUCCGCAAGAACAGCAACUUAAACAUUUGUACUCAGAGCCCUCGCAGAAGUCAAAUACUUAGGUGUUUGGAGUCUGUGGAGUCAGCUCUGCGUGACCCGUGACCUCUAUUUCUCCACACUCAAGAGCAGCAUGGUAAGAUGCAGUUUGGGAGUUUCCUCAUCUCUCCUACCUCAGCAGCAUAGCAAAGGCUGGUUGAGAUUCAUUUUUCAUGGGUGGGUUGUGAACAUAUUGAUAAAGGAUUAACCUGGGCCUGGUAUUCCAUGAAAACGAUUGAGUGAAAACACAUAUUUUAUUCCACUUGUCUUCAUCUAUCUCUUCCCCUAGUUAUUCUGGAUGUGAGUCAUUGUCAUUGGGAGUGGAGGGUACAUCAUUGGUAUUCCUGCUAGGUAUGACACAGCUUUUUCCCACUAUACUUCCAGAAGAUCACAAGCUCUUAUUUUCUGAGAAUUUUCAUCCGGAGGCAAAGCAUUCACCGGUGGGUUGACUGAGCUUUGUAACCAAAAUGGCUGAACAAAUGAGAUGUGGGAAUUCUAAACUGGCUUAUCACUUCAAAAUGCAUAAGCCAGGGAGUGCUGGGGAGGGGAGAAGAGGGAAGAAGCAGGAAGAGAGCAGACACAGGGUGGAGACUCACCAGUCCUGCCAGGUGGGGCUUUGUCUGGUCCGGACUGUCUCUGGUACGAGAGGGCACAUGCACAUUCUCACGCAGCUCCACUCUCCCUGGCCUUCAAGCCUGCUGCCCCCGAGCUCCUUUUACAGUGCCAGGUCUGAGUGUGGCUGAAAGAGCCAUCUGCAGAGCCUGCUCCAUGCACAUGGUCAGCUCUUUGUGGAAGCUGCUUACUGGGGGGACUUUAGAACUCAGCCUUUUUGUCCCACGGACCGCAUACUUCUGUGGGUUUUUUCCCCCUAAAUUGAACCACUCCUGUCCCUAAUUGUGUCACUCCUGCUGUCACCUCUAGCCAUCAGAGCCAGUGGCAUGGUUCUGAUUGUGUUGCAAUGUGUCCUUGAAGCAUUCUUUUUGUUUGUGUUCAAUGGCUCUCCUUCAGCUCACAACACAGUGGUGGCAAUGGUUUCCUAGGGUCACCCAUUCUCCUCUGAGGACCAGCCCAGAAAAGCUCAGUCGUAAUGAACGGGGCUUCAGACGGAUGGACACACACAUGGGCUUGAGAGCCCUCCUGGCUUUGGCCACUCUAACAAGAUUUUGUCAUUUGUGGCUUUUGCACAUUGGAAAAACUUUCAUCUCUGAGUUUCUAUGGGCUAUAAAUACUUGGUAGGUUAAAAAGGAAUCAUUCAGAACAUGAAAUAAACAUAACCUGGCACGUACACAGCAACACACCUCAACGGAGCCCUUCAACUUCUAGGCCAGAGCUGCAGGAAUCGGAGCCGGGGCUUCCUUCAUCCCGUCUCGCAUUCACUUCCCUCCCGGGCUGGGCACUGCUCUGGUUUCUGACCUCUUUUGGUUGGAUAUUUUCCUAAUGAGGCAGGAGGAUGAGGUCUCCAUGUUCCUUACGCCUUUUAACCACAGAGUGAAAACUGUUGAUUUUGUUGGCAUUGGGGAAAAUGUUUAGAAUGUAUGGAAAACAUGUUAUGGAUAUUAUAUAUCUACCAUAAACCAAGAAAAGAGUCUGGCAGAGGGAAAUUCUAUGUUGAUUAGGAAAAGUCACCACGAUCCUGGUCUUUAUGGCUUUAUUUUUUUUCUAAACAAUUGCUUUAUUCUUUUUUUCAGAAUAUAAAAGAAAGGCUAAGAAAAAGAAAAACCAAUCAUGUCUUUCAAAGAUAGCAUUCUUAACAUCUUGGUCCUGUGCUUUUUUAAAAAAAAAAAAUUGAGGUAAAUGUACAUAAAGAAAGAUGCAUAAAUCAUAAGUGAACAUCUCAACAUUUAAAAAAUCCUAAAAAUUAUGUAUACCCAUGUCACCACCCCCUAGAUCAAAACAUUUCGUGUACUCUAGCAAACUCUGUUGUGUCUGUUCUUAGAAAUAUCCACUCAGAAGUCUCUCCCCCAUGGCUGGCCAUGGUGGCUUAUGCCCAUAAUCCUAGCACUUUGGGAGGCUGAGGUGAGAGGAUCACUUGAGCUUAGGAGUGCGAGACCAGCCUGGGAAACAUGGUGAAAUGUUGUUUCUACCAAAAAUACAAAAAUUAGCCAGAUGUGGUGGCACAUGCCUGUCAUCCCAGGUACUCAGGAGGCUGAGGUGCAGGGAUGGCUGGAGCCUGGGAGGUCGAGGCUGCAGUGAGCUGAAAUUGUGCCACUGCACUCCAGCCUGGGCAACACAGCGAGACCCUGUUUCAAACAAACAAACAAGCAAACAAACAAAAAAGCAAAAACAACAAGAACAACAAAAGAAGUCUCUCCCCUAGAGGGAAUCACCUUCUGAUUUCAGGCUUAUCCUUUUGUCACCGGUUGAGGGUGGCCGGGUUCUUGGCAUCUUGAACAAAGAAUUGAACAAAACACACAAAGCAAGGAAGGAAUGAAGAGGUUUACUGAAAAUGAAAGUACACUCCACAGUGUGUGGAGUGGACCCAAGCAUAGGGGCUCAAGGGCCCCGUUACAGAAUUUUGGGGAAUUUAAAUACCCUCUAGAGGAUUCCAUUGGCUACUUGGGGUACACCCUAUGUAAAUGAGGAGGAUGAAGUAAAGUUACAAAGUUGUUUAUUGUGGAGAGGAUAUUUGCUGUCGUAGCUGAAGGGUGAAUCAGCCUUAUGUUCCCUGCCUCCAGACCCUGUUUUCAUGCCAUAUAUAUAUAUAUAUAUAUAUAUAUAUAUAGCUAUAUAUAGUAUUUGCAUACAUUGUUCUUUCUAUAUUUAACUUUUAUACUUUAUUUUAUGUAUAUCACACAUUUUAACAAAAAUGUAUCAAACUACUCAUACGGUAUUACAAUCUGAUCCUCUCACUUUAAAUAAAUUUUUAUUAUAUAAUAUUUAUGAAAUAAAAUUUGGUACAGUAUUACUACAUAAUAUAAUAAAAUGUCACAUUUAUGUGAUAUAUAAAUAUAUAAAUUAUAUAAUUAUCACUUUAUAUAUUAUCUUUCUGUCAAUAAAUAUAAAACGAAACCAUCACUUUGAAUGACUGCAUCCUAUUGUUGAGUAUGGCAUAAUUUGUAAACUACUUUCCUGCUAAUGAACAUUUUAGCAUUGUUCCUUUGUGAUUAUAUUUUUAAAUUGCCAUUAGGGUGACAUCUAUGAAUGGAUUUAUUCCAAAGGCUUUGUAAUCCUAUUUUACUGUUAUUAACUGUGAGUAUUAAUGCUUCUACAUUUUAUAUUGUCCAUCUCUUUUUGUUCCAUUUCUUUCCCUAGCAUAUAUUCAUCUUGUGGCUCGUGCUAAAGGACAGUGUGUGAAUGUGUGUGUGCCUGUGCACACGCAUGCACGCAUGCAUGCCUGUGUACAUACAUUCUAUGUUGUUAUUGUUAUUCUAGUGGUCCCAAUACAGCCCAGCCUUGGAGCAGGAGAUGUAAAGUAUGUUUGCAUCCACACAGCAUGUCAUAUAGCUUUAAAAGUCAUUAAAGAAAUUC
RNAcentral lists this long non-coding RNA (11086 nucleotides) under Homo sapiens (human). RNAcentral describes it as "HSALNT0043242". Lineage: Eukaryota; Metazoa; Chordata; Mammalia; Primates; Hominidae. The record is from RNAcentral.